This 399-nucleotide ribosomal RNA is filed under the name uncultured bacterium. Its description in RNAcentral is "bacterial SSU rRNA". It matches the Rfam family "Bacterial small subunit ribosomal RNA", at positions 361 to 776 of the family's 1533-position model. The record is from RNAcentral.
AUCUUGCGCAAUGGGCGAAAGCCUGACGCAGCGACGCCGCGUGUGCGAUGAAGGUCUUCGGAUCGUAAAGCACUGUCGCGAGGGAAGAAACCUGACGGUACCUCGAGAGGAAGCACCGGCUAACUCUGUGCCAGCAGCCGCGGUAAUACAGAGGGUGCGAGCGUUGUUCGGAAUUAUUGGGCGUAAAGCGCGAGUAGGCGGCUUGUUAAGUCGCGUGUGAAAGCUCCCGGCUCAACCGGGAAAGUGCGCGCGAAACUGGCGAGCUUGAGUGCUGGAGAGGGUGGCGGAAUUCCUGGUGUAGAGGUGAAAUUCGUAGAUAUCGGGAGGAACACCAGAGGCGAAGGCGGCCACCUGGAAAGACACUGACGCUGAGAAGCGAAAGCGUGGGGAGCAAACAGG